This 844-nucleotide ribosomal RNA is filed under the name marine metagenome. Its description in RNAcentral is "bacterial SSU rRNA". It matches the Rfam family "Bacterial small subunit ribosomal RNA", at positions 202 to 1064 of the family's 1533-position model. The record is from RNAcentral.
AAAGCUUUAUGCGCCGAUGGAUGAGCCCGCACUUGAUUAGUUAGUUGGUAGGGUAAUGGCCUACCAAGACUUUGAUCAAUAGCUGAUUUGAGAGGAUGAUCAGCCACAUUGGGACUGAGACACGGCCCAAACUCCUACGGGAGGCAGCAGUAGGGAAUCUUGCACAAUGGAGGAAACUCUGAUGCAGCGAUGCCGCGUGAGUGAAGAAGGCCUUUGGGUUGUAAAGCUCUUUCGUCGGGGAAGAAAAUGACUGUACCCGAAUAAGAAGGUCCGGCUAACUUCGUGCCAGCAGCCGCGGUAAUACGAAGGGACCUAGCGUAGUUCGGAAUUACUGGGCUUAAAGAGUUCGUAGGUGGUUAAAAAAGUUGGUGGUGAAAUCCCAGAGCUUAACUCUGGAACUGCCAUCAAAACUUUUUAGCUAGAGUGUGAUAGAGGAAAGCAGAAUUUCUAGUGUAGAGGUGAAAUUCGUAGAUAUUAGAAAGAAUACCAAUUGCGAAGGCAGCUUUCUGGAUCACUACUGACACUGAGGAACGAAAGCAUGGGUAGCGAAGAGGAUUAGAUACCCUCGUAGUCCAUGCCGUAAACGAUGUGUGUUAGACGUUGGAAAUUUAUUUUCAGUGUCGCAGCGAAAGCAAUAAACACACCGCCUGGGGAGUACGACCGCAAGGUUAAAACUCAAAUGAAUUGACGGGGACCCGCACAAGUAGUGGAGCAUGUGGUUUAAUUCGAAGAUACGCGCAGAACCUUACCAACACUUGACAUGUUCGUCGCGACUUCAAGAGAUUGAAGUUUUCGGGUUCGGCCGGACGAAACACAGGUGCUGCAUGGCUGUCGUCAGCUCGUG